CCUACGGGAGGCAGCAGUGAGGAAUAUUGGUCAAUGGGCGCGAGCCUGAACCAGCCAAGUCGCGUGAGGGAAGACGGUCCUAUGGAUUGUAAACCUCUUUUGUCGGGGAGCAAAAGACGCCACGCGUGGCGUUCCGAGAGUACCCGAAGAAAAAGCAUCGGCUAACUCCGUGCCAGCAGCCGCGGUAAUACGGAGGAUGCGAGCGUUAUCCGGAUUUAUUGGGUUUAAAGGGUGCGCAGGCGGAAGAUGAAGUCAGCGGUAAAAUUGAGAGGCUCAACCUCUUCGAGCCGUUGAAACUGGGUUGCUUGAGUGAGCGAGAAGUAUGCGGAAUGCGUGGUGUAGCGGUGAAAUGCAUAGAUAUCACGCAGAACUCCGAUUGCGAAGGCAGCAUACCGGCGCUCAACUGACGCUCAUGCACGAAAGUGUGGGUAUCGAACAGGAUUAGAUACCCGAGUAGUC
RNAcentral lists this ribosomal RNA (459 nucleotides) under uncultured bacterium. RNAcentral's name for it is "partial 16S ribosomal RNA". It matches the Rfam family "Bacterial small subunit ribosomal RNA", at positions 338 to 795 of the family's 1533-position model. The record is from RNAcentral.